AGAUUGAACGCUGGCGGCAUGCCUAACACAUGCAAGUCGAACGGGAGUAGCAAUACUCUAGUGGCGGACGGGUGAGGAAUACGUAGGAAUUUGCCCUUAAGUGGGGGAUAACCCGGGGAAACCCGGAUUAAUACCGCAUGACCUCGAAAGAGCAAAGUGGGGGAUCGCAAGACCUCACGCUUUUGGAGAAGCCUACGUCGGAUUAGCUAGUUGGUGAGGUAAUGGCUCACCAAGGCGACGAUCCGUAACUGGUCUGAGAGGAUGAUCAGUCACACCGGAACUGAGACACGGUCCGGACUCCUACGGGAGGCAGCAGUGGGGAAUGUGGACAAUGGGCGCAAGCCUGAUCCAGCAAUGCCGCGUGUGUGAAGAAGGCCGUUGGUUGUAAAGACUACGUUUAAGUUAGGGAAAGUAAAAAACGUACGACGUACUAACGAC
This 438-nucleotide ribosomal RNA is filed under the name uncultured soil bacterium. RNAcentral's name for it is "bacterial SSU rRNA". It matches the Rfam family "Bacterial small subunit ribosomal RNA", at positions 26 to 473 of the family's 1533-position model. The record is from RNAcentral.